UUUUAUGAGCUUUUUCUGAGAUUUGAAGUUUAAAAAUGGUCAAACGGUGUGCAUGGGGUACAUGCAACUCUGACACAAGGUAUCCUGAGAGGCUGGGCGACCAGGUGUAUUUUUUACACUUUAAACCACAUCUCAACCGAGAAAAGUGUCUCCUUUGGAUAAAGUUGUGUGGUAACGUUAGACCACAACAUCAACUCAACGUGAAUAAGAUUAACAAUGAUGUCUACAUCUGUUCUAAGACGUGUACGUUGGUGCUCCAGCAGCAGAAGCAGUCACUCACCGCACUGCAAGUCUCAAGUAAGUCUCAAGUCUUAACCUUCAAGUCUCAAGUAAGUCCCAAGUCAUUUUUUCUUGGGCAAGUCAAGUCAAGUCAAGUCACAGGUUAUGUCAAGUCAAGUCAAGUCAAGUCAAGUCCUGUAAUAGGUCAAGUCAAGUCACCUUAUUAUUGUAAUUUUACCUGCAGAAUCUGAUCUUAAUAAAGUGAAAAGACAAGAUAUAAGUAACUGUCAGUAAACAUUGACUUCAUCGCUGCAAUGUUUACUUUGCAGGGACGACCCCCAUGCGUGCGUGCACACACACACACACACACACACACACACACACACACA
Epinephelus moara (kelp grouper) is the source of this 608-nucleotide long non-coding RNA. RefSeq lists it as uncharacterized. NCBI's taxonomy places the organism in Eukaryota, Metazoa, Chordata, Actinopteri, Perciformes, Serranidae. The record is from RefSeq and is a predicted model, not a curated record. The transcript is spliced from 2 exons.